CAGUCGCCGCGGUAAUAUGAAGGGGGCGAGCGUUGCUCGGAAUGACUGGGCGUAAAGGGCGCGUAGGUGGCGUGCACAGUCAGAUGUGAAAUUCCUGGGCUCAACCUGGGGGCUGCAUUUGAUACGUGCGUGCUAGAGUGUGGAAGAGGGUCGUGGAAUUCCCAGUGUAGAGGUGAAAUUCGUAGGUAUUGGGAAGAACACCGGUGGCGAAGGCGGCGACCUGGUCCAUUACUGACGCUGAGGCGCGAAAGCGUGGGGAGCAAACAGGAUUAGAUACCCCUGUAGUCCCUGUCUCUUAUAC
This 301-nucleotide ribosomal RNA is filed under the name uncultured bacterium. RNAcentral describes it as "partial 16S ribosomal RNA". It matches the Rfam family "Bacterial small subunit ribosomal RNA", at positions 509 to 807 of the family's 1533-position model. The record is from RNAcentral.